This 1122-nucleotide ribosomal RNA is filed under the name Triticum aestivum (bread wheat). RNAcentral's name for it is "partial small subunit ribosomal RNA". Lineage: Eukaryota; Viridiplantae; Streptophyta; Magnoliopsida; Poales; Poaceae. The record is from RNAcentral.
AUGUCGAGGAGGGGUAGGCGGUUGGGUAUCGCUUAUGUCCAUGACGACAAAGAGCGUGAUGUCACCUUCUUCAAGCGACGUGGUGGUUUAUUCAAGAGCGCCGCCGACCUCAAUGCCAUCACGGGUGCUAGCGUUGUUGUCAUCCUGGAGACAGGAAAUAAGAAAAUGUACUCAUUCGGGACGCCAUCAGCUGGCCCCAUUGUCGAUGCUUUUUUGUCAGCAGCACCGCUAGGAAAUCGACUCACUGAGAAGGAAACAAGUUCCAAGAUUGCCCGACUACAAAGUGAGGUGGCUCAGCUUGAUAUGGAGCAUGGGAUGGAGGAUAAGAGAAAUCAACUCUCCAUUCAGCACGUGAAAAAAUUCCAAGAACAGUACCCAGGUAUGGUGGCAAACCUUAUCUUCUCGAAGGAACAAGAUCUCAACCUGGAAGAUGCUAAAAAGCUCUUCAAUGAACUCUCUCGUGUCCAUGAGGACACUAGACGCCGGCUGCCUAAAUUGCAUCAUAGCUACAAAGCCAUAACUGGUGGUGCAAGCGUGAUUCAAAACAUGCUACCAUCAAGUGGUCCACUGCUGAAGAGCUUGAAGACUAUCCCUUCAUCAGUGCACUCAAUGUGGGAUCACCAUCUUCCGCAACACCAUAUGCCUUCCACUCCGCUAAUAUCACCACCAGAUCACAACGUGGAACCAGUUUUUCCUCGGGCACCACAAAUGUUCCAUGUUGCAUCAGCAACUUCAGCACCACAGUUUGCUUCCCAGCUACAAGGCAUACCUAAUCAGGUACAGGAUCUGCCUCCAACAGAUUUGCAUGUUGAGGACUAUAUAAGCCCUUGCGACACAGUGCACUCACCAAAAAACAAUGCAAGCCCUAUCUCAACAACUGAGCAUAAUAUGGAAGCCUCUCCACUAUUGGUCUACUCAAGUGGCAACGAUUUUGUUGUGGAUGGCCCAUUUGGCCAUGAUCAAUGGGGUUUUGCUCUACCAGAUCAACAGCUCUACAAUAGAUUUCUAGGGAUGGAUAGUUACUUGGGCAUUAAUGGUACCGAUGUAGGACAAUCUUCUGUGGGUAAUGGUGGAUGGGUUGAUGCUCCUGCAGAAUCUUCUCCUGGCAAGCAAGAUGUCGAU